UCUGGAAGGAGAGAUGGCUUAAAGGGGGUGCGCGAGCUUCUUUUUGUGCACUGCUCUAGGAUGGGACUGCGGCCGAUCAGGCUGUUGGUGGGGGUAAUGGCCCACCAAACCUGUAACCGGUACGGGCCUUGAGAGAGGGGGCCCGGAGAUGGACACUGAGAGAAGGGUCCAGGUCCUACGGGGCGCAGCAGGCGCGAAACCUUCGCAAUGCGCGAAAGCGUGACGAGGUUAAUCCGAGUGGUUCCCGCUGAGGGAAUCUUUUGUUGGCUCUAAAAUGGCCAGUGAAUAAGGGGAGGGCAAGUCUGGUGUCAGCCGCCGCGGUAAUACCAGCUCCUCGAGUGGUCGGGGCGAUUAUUGGGCCUAAAGCAUCCGUAGCCUGUUCUGUAGGUCUUCUGUUAAAUCCAACGGCUUAACCGUUGGUCUGCAGAAGAUACCGCAGGACUAGGAGGCGGGAGAGGUGGACGGUACUCCACGUGUAGGGGUAAAAUCCUUUGAUCCGUGGAAGACCACCAGUGGCGAAGGCGGUCCACCAGAACGCGCUCGACGGUGAGGGAUGAAAGCUGGGGGAGCGAACCGGAUUAGAUACCCGGGUAGUCCCAG
This 600-nucleotide ribosomal RNA is filed under the name uncultured archaeon. RNAcentral's name for it is "bacterial SSU rRNA". It matches the Rfam family "Archaeal small subunit ribosomal RNA", at positions 169 to 750 of the family's 1478-position model. The record is from RNAcentral.